CCUCUCUCGGCGUGGCGGGGUCCGAGCCGCCGCCCGCCGCGGGCAGCAGCGCCGUGAGGUGCUGCCCCGUUCCCGGGCCCUGCCGUUACCUGGGAGAGCCGGGGCUAUUUUUAACCUGGAUGUGUUCUGUGAUAUGUUUCCCACACAGCACAGAAACUGGCAUAGCUGAGGGGCUGGCGGCUUUGAAAAAAAUCACAGCUCCAUUGUGCUCCAGAGUCAUGCUGAAUGAUUCAGAUGGAAAGAAAAACCCACGUCAGAAGGAACAGGGGACUCAAAGACGAGUGUUGAGGCCAGCAGACCAGGAACAUCGAUCCCAGGCAGCAGCACAUCCUGAGAAUGUUGCACUCUGUGACAGCAGCAACAUUAUGGUUUAUCCCUCUGUGCCAUGGGUCUGUGGAAGACAAGUGCUGCUCCUGGUAUUGGGGGUGUCCUUGAGCACACCCACAGGACUGGCAUCGAUUGCCUGGGAGUGCUGGAGCAGCAGGAAAACGCGCCUGUCCUACCUGGAGGCCACAGAUCCAGCCUCCAGCAGCUGGGGAGGUGAACUGACUCCUUCCUCCUGGAGCAGGGCUGCCAGCAGCGGAGGUCAGACAGGGCAGGAGGAAGGGACAGGGUCACCAGCGGCAGAGGCAGGGAGGCAGAGCCCGGGGGCUCCUGUGCGGAAGCAGAGCAUGCAAUGA
RNAcentral lists this long non-coding RNA (680 nucleotides) under Chloebia gouldiae (Gouldian finch). RNAcentral's name for it is "Erythrura gouldiae (Gouldian finch) lncRNA (ENSEGOG00005001682.1)". The record is from RNAcentral. Lineage: Eukaryota; Metazoa; Chordata; Aves; Passeriformes; Passeridae.